RNAcentral lists this ribosomal RNA (497 nucleotides) under uncultured bacterium. RNAcentral describes it as "partial 16S ribosomal RNA". It matches the Rfam family "Bacterial small subunit ribosomal RNA", at positions 28 to 507 of the family's 1533-position model. The record is from RNAcentral.
GAUGAACGCUGGCGGCGUGCCUAAUACAUGCAAGUCGAGCGAACGGACGAGAGGCUUGCUUCUCUGAUGUUAGCGGCGGACGGGUGAGUAACACGUGGAUAACCUACCUAUAAGACUGGGAUAACUUCGGGAAACCGGAGCUAAUACCGGAUAAUAUUUUGAACCGCAUGGUUCAAAAGUGAAAGACGGUCUUGCUGUCACUUAUAGAUGUAUCCGCGCUGCAUUAGCUAGUUGGUAAGGUAACGGCUUACCAAGGCAACGAUGCAUAGCCGACCUGAGAGGGUGAUCGGCCACACUGGAACUGAGACACGGUCCAGACUCCUACGGGAGGCAGCAGUAGGGAAUCUUCCGCAAUGGGCGAAAGCCUGACGGAGCAACGCCGCGUGAGUGAUGAAGGUCUUCGGAUCGUAAAACUCUGUUAUUAGGGAAGAACAUAUGUGUAAGUAACUGUGCACAUCUUGACGGUACCUAAUCAGAAAGCCACGGCUAACUACGUG